AAAAACAUAGUAUUAAGAUUUAUUUAAUAUAGAAUCUGCUCAAUGAUUUAAUUUAAAUAGCUGCAGUAUUUUGACUGUGCAAAGGUAGCAUAAUAAUUAGUCUUUUAAUUGGGGACUGGGAUGAAAGAUUUGAUGAGAAAUAAACUUUAUUAUUUAUAAAAUUAAAAUUUUAUUUUUAAGUAAAAAAGCUUAAAUAUUUUAAAGGGACGAUAAGACCCUAUAAAACUUUAUAAUUAUUAUUAUUAAAAUUUUUGGGUUAUAUAAAUUUUGAUAUUUUUAAUUAUUUUAUUGGGGUGAUAAAAAAAAUUAUUUAACUUUUUUUAAAAUUUUACAUUAAUUAAUGAUAUUUUGAAUUAAAAUUUUUAAUUAUAUGAAAAAGUUACUUUAGGGAUAACAGCGUAAUUAAUUUUUUAAGUCCAAAUUUAAAAAUUAGUUUGCGACCUCGAUGUUGAAUUAAGAUUAGUCUUAGGUGCAAAAUUUUAAGUUAUAGGUCUGUUCGAC
RNAcentral lists this ribosomal RNA (501 nucleotides) under Kaburagia rhusicola ensigallis. RNAcentral describes it as "partial 16S ribosomal RNA". Lineage: Eukaryota; Metazoa; Arthropoda; Insecta; Hemiptera; Aphididae. The record is from RNAcentral. RNAcentral also lists the same sequence under 1 other name.